UACGUAGGGUCCGAGCGUUGUCCGGAAUUAUUGGGCGUAAAGAGCUCGUAGGCGGCCUGUCGCGUCUGCUGUGAAAGUCCGGGGCUUAACUCCGGGUGUGCAGUGGGUACGGGCAGGCUUGAGGUAGGCAGGGGAGACUGGAAUUCCUGGUGUAGCGGUGAAAUGCGCAGAUAUCAGGAGGAACACCGGUGGCGAAGGCGGGUCUCUGGGCCUUACCUGACGCUGAGGAGCGAAAGCGUGGGGAGCGAACAGGAUUAGAUACCCUGGUAGUCCCU
Molecule: ribosomal RNA, 275 nt
Filed under: uncultured prokaryote
Description: partial 16S ribosomal RNA
Rfam family: Bacterial small subunit ribosomal RNA
Source: RNAcentral